GGCUGGCUAGCUCAGUCGGUAGAGCAUGAAACCUUUAUUCUCAGGGUGGUGGGUUCGAGCCCCACGUUGGGCG
RNAcentral lists this transfer RNA (73 nucleotides) under Rhipicephalus microplus (southern cattle tick). RNAcentral describes it as "tRNA-Lys". It matches the Rfam family "tRNA". From Rfam's summary of the family: Transfer RNA (tRNA) molecules are approximately 80 nucleotides in length. Their secondary structure includes four short double-helical elements and three loops (D, anti-codon, and T loops). Lineage: Eukaryota; Metazoa; Arthropoda; Arachnida; Ixodida; Ixodidae. The record is from Rfam by way of RNAcentral.